UAUGAAUUGAGCAGAAGGAAACAAAGUUCUGCAGAUAAACACCAAUGAAACAAAAAACCACGAAUAAGAAAAAUGACAGAAAAGGAGAACCUUCCCAGAAUCCUCCUGCCAGUGAACGGUCACCAGAGCAAGAGCAUGGAGUCCCUGGGUUUUGAACUGUGAGAUAAGGAAGAUGAUGAAAACCUCCCUAGCAGCCAGAGACAGGGUCUUGUUGUGUUGCCCAGGCUGGACUCAAACUCCUGGGUUCAAAUGAUUCUUCUGCCUCAGUCUCCCGAGUAGCUGAGACUACAGCCAGGUACUAUUCUAGAUUGUCUUGUGAUAUUUACAAUCUAGGAGAAGGCAGGAGAGAGAACUAAGAACAGAGAGCAUGUUCUGAGAUGUCUGCUGUGUUUGCAGACUUAGAUUUUUGGCUGGACUAUUGGCUUGGGAUAGAUGAAAAUCAUUCCUUGUAUCCCCUGAUCUUAAAGUCAAGACUGAACCAGCCUCCAGAUGCAAGCCUUCAUGGGGCUUCAGAUACCAUGAGGAAUGGGCGUCCCUGCAAUAUUGUCAUGGCUGUCAAAAGUGUUAUUGGAGCUGGAAACUCCUGGAGGGCAGAGCCAUGCCUGCCAUUUUCAUCAUUGCAUUACCACCACCCAGCACAGUGCCUGGUACAAAAGAGUUGCUCAAUAAAUAAAUCAGGAUGAAUGGACAAAUACACGGAUAGGCACUUUGAACUACAGAUGAGCUUAAAUACUUUGUGUUUUUCUUAGUCAAACAUGUGCAAUUAAGCAUGUGAUAAAUUAUAUGAUGACCACAC
Long non-coding RNA from Homo sapiens (human), 796 nucleotides. RefSeq annotates it as long independently transcribed non-coding RNA 2614. The transcript is spliced from 5 exons. The record is from RefSeq and is marked validated. Lineage: Eukaryota; Metazoa; Chordata; Mammalia; Primates; Hominidae.